This 2646-nucleotide long non-coding RNA is filed under the name Daphnia pulex (common water flea). Its description in RNAcentral is "uncharacterized LOC124204721, transcript variant X2". Lineage: Eukaryota; Metazoa; Arthropoda; Branchiopoda; Diplostraca; Daphniidae. The record is from RNAcentral.
UCGGUGUUACCAUAUGUAAAUUUUGUUGAUUGGUAAUCACAUAAUUCAUUGUAUCUAUUUGUUUUGUAUCACACGGCUUCAAGAUGAGGAAGGGGGAAGGGUUAGGAAUAAUAAUCAUGAUGGCCGCCGCCUCAAGGGGAAAACCUUCUCUCCCCUACCUCUCUCAGUCUCUCAGCAUGAGCUCUCAGUCUGGUACAGGAAGGUGGUACAGGAAGUCUGUCUUAAGUGUUAGCUAAAACACAGUGUCGCAGAUUUUGCUAAGGAAAGCUCUAGUGUUGUGAUGGGUAUGCGAUGGAAUACUGACUCAUCUGCUGGAUAACUGUGAGGCGAAAGAUUUAUGAAACAUACAUUUGCAGCAAUGAACAAUUUGCACAACAUUAAUCACGUGAAAAGGAUGGAUGGCCCUUGAUUCAAUGGUGACAGCUUCAGGUUUCUAUCCUUAAGUCUAAAUGAAAAUGAGUUGAAAUAAUACCUCAAAGUCGUGUUAGAGCCAAAAGAACUCAAACACUUUUUACAACCAAUUAGCUGGUGACUGAUGUUUAGGGCAACAAAACUGAAGGAAAACUGUUAAUCAGGAUAAGUUGGUGAGAACUAACUAGAAGUAACGAAUCCACAAAAGGUUAGAUGAACAGGAAGAAGUGUAAUCUGAAAAAUUGUAACGUAGUAUUGAUAUUGUUUGUAUUAUUUAAUUGUUUGAAAAUGAGAUUCUUUAUGACGUCCGGGGAAAACAGUUCAGAUGACCCGAUGCAGUUAAGAAUUUCUGAAAAGAUUUAGGAACAAAAUAAUUAUCAUUUUUCAGACUUAGAUGGGUUAGGAUAUCUUUUUCUUCCCCCCCCCUGAAAUUGUUCCGUCAAUUAUGGUCAGAGUAUUCCCAAGCCACUUUAGUCGCCAAUAUUUCUAUCCAAACGAAACUUGAGACUAAUUUUUGUUUGUUUUUCCGUUACUCGGUUUUCAGAAUGGAUCUGGCGUACUAAACGGAACCCCAUGCAGUUCGGGUUGAAAUCACAGUCAAAAGAUGCACUGAUGAAUCUACAGUCACUAAGCUGUACCAAUGAAAAUUUCUCAUUUGUCACGUUCAUGGGACAAUCACGUCAUCAACUAGCACACCGGUCGAUUCUGAUGAGGUGAGAAGCUGGAGAUUUUCCGUUUCCUUUCUUUUGCAUUUAACUUUAAGUUUGUCUGGAUACGUUGCAAGUUUCCGUGUGUGUUCCUCGAGCCCCAAUGGAAGGGAACGAACAAGAGAAAAGAAAGAAAUGAAAAACAGAUUGUAGUUCCAUCCAUCCGGUAACUGAGUACAGGCGACACAGACCAAUGUCAGAACAAAGGCCAAAACUACCUGUUGAAAUGACCUCCAUGUUUUGGAUGGAUUGACAGAGGAAGCAAACAUUCCAUGCGGAUGGAAAGUACAAUUCUGCAUCGCCAACGCUCGAUUAGACACAGGGCUCUUUUCAAGUUUUAUACAGGCUGGAACCCGCACAGUUUCAUACCGAUUGAAAAUGCCCACGGUACGUAUUUCCACAGGUGGUCGGCACGUGAAGUAAAUAAGAAACUCGACGAGGUUUAUCGCGCGAAGGACACCCAUUUGUCAACGCGAAUCGCACCUACAGGUCUGAAUACAGGACUUCGGCCCUUUGCAAAAUUGCACGCAACAGAGCCUAUUCACAUCACUUCAAAAGUUGCAAUUAUGUUUUGAAUCACGUUUUAUGCGGAAGCUUCAACAUCACUUUAUGACACGUUCAAGAGGCGCUUCAUGUUUUGGAUGGAUUGACAGAGGAAGCAAACAUUCCGUGCGGAUGGAAAGUACAAUUCUGCAUCGCCAACGCUCGAUUAGACACUGGGCCCUUUUCAAGAUCUACCUUGUUCAUUUUCAUGCAACCCUGCCCAUUCCUCCUCAAUUUCAUUGCAAAUUAUUCAAAAUGGUGGCCGUCUGGCAUGUUCAUUGUUGAAUUGAUUCCUGUGAUGGUGAUUACAAUUCUCAGCUUUUUGACGACUGCAGCUGAAGUUUUCGUGUGCCCAAGUGCUCUUGGCAAUAGAGAUGAAAUGUUCCAAUCCAAUAAUGCAAGCUGUGUCUUUCAUAACCAGGAAUUUCUGUUUGCAAGGUUGACGCGAGUGUCUUCGUGAGGGGGACAAAAUUCCGCCAUUUGUUUCUGAGACACCGAGUGAAAAUGUAUUCCAAAUGCAUUGCGGAUUUACGGCGUCGUUCUACAUUUUCAAUCAAGAAAUUUAAUAGUUUAUGUUUAGAGAUCCCUUUACAUAUCGAGGAAUUUAAGAACACGCUAAAUCUGAACUUCAUUGCUGUCUUUCGCGUUAAUGGUUUUGUUGUAGCCAGCUGGUGAAAGGUGUGAUCAAGUUGAGCUGCAAUUGCUGCAUCAGUCUUUAGUGUUGGUGUUAUCCUGAAGUGCGAAAGCGUAACCCAACUACAACUUCACGAAGACUUCUUGAAAUGGACUCUGUGGCAAGGUGUUUUUCAACUGUACGAUGCUGUUCAAUAUGCAGUGGUUUUGCAGCCAUUUCCAGUUCAAGCUGUUUCAUGCUGCCUGUGGUGCUGGUGUUAUCCUGUAAUGUGUUGUUUGUCAAUGUCUAUCAGUCUUUGUGUGUAAUGCCUGUGUCGAUGUCUCUGUGACUUACCGAGAUGAUUGGACGUAA